Long non-coding RNA from Nycticebus coucang (slow loris), 815 nucleotides. RefSeq lists it as uncharacterized. The transcript has 4 exons. Lineage: Eukaryota; Metazoa; Chordata; Mammalia; Primates; Lorisidae. The record is from RefSeq and is a predicted model, not a curated record.
CGGGGAUGCGAACCGCGAGUUGGCCUCUGCCCUACACCAGGCGGAGGAGCCGAGACGUUCUGGGCAUCCUACAGGAACUGACAAGCGCGCCCCGGUACCCCCGGAUCCAUACCACGGCCCCAAAGGAGCCGGCGCAAGAAAGAGCUCUGUCUUCCCUGCCCUGAGGUCCAAAAUUACCUUCAUUUCCUCGUUGAUCUCCCUUUUCACUGGGGGCCUAGAGGUGGAGCAGAGUUGGUAGAACAGAAAGAAGAGAGAGAAUAUAGUUACUGUGACCAGAAGCUGUGCCCCCCAAAAUAGUCUCAGGACGAAAAGUGUGGGAAGGUGCUGAAAUCCUAAACUGCAAAAACAAAAGAAAACAAAACCCUAGCCCGGGAAGAAAUGAAGUACAACACCGAGCUCUUCACAUGUGAUGAGAAAACAGAGAGUUAAAGAGAUCAAGCAUCUGCUGUGAGCUGUGACGCCACGGCACUCGACCCCGGGUGACAGCUUGAGACUCUGUCUCAAAAAAAAAAAAAAAGAAAGAAAGAAAGAAAAAGAGAUCAAGCAUCAGCCAAAGGAUACACAUAUAGGUCAGCAGAAUGCGGAUCGGCCAGAAAGGGAAGUCCACUAAAACUUCACAAGCCUCAGAGUCCUGAGAAAAAAAGACGAAGAACGCCAGGCCCAUCUUUUGUCAGUGUCUGUCUUCAGAACAACCACAAUGCCAAGGAGAAGUCCCUGUUUUGUCUAACAGUUUCCACAGAUUGUGGUGUAACCACUCCCCAGCUUACAGGGCUACUCACACUCAGAAACUCUUUUGCUGCUUUGUGGGAAUAAAG